GCCCAGGUGGCGGAAUUGGUAGACGCGCUAGCUUCAGGUGCUAGUACCCUUUUCGGGUGUGGAAGUUCGAGUCUUCUCCUGGGCACCA
Molecule: transfer RNA, 88 nt
Filed under: Hyphomicrobiales bacterium
Lineage: Bacteria; Pseudomonadati; Pseudomonadota; Alphaproteobacteria; Hyphomicrobiales
Description: tRNA-Leu
Rfam family: tRNA
About the family: Transfer RNA (tRNA) molecules are approximately 80 nucleotides in length. Their secondary structure includes four short double-helical elements and three loops (D, anti-codon, and T loops). Further hydrogen bonds mediate the characteristic L-shaped molecular structure. tRNAs have two regions of fundamental functional importance: the anti-codon, which is responsible for specific mRNA codon recognition, and the 3' end, to which the tRNAs corresponding amino acid is attached (by aminoacyl-tRNA synthetases). tRNAs cope with the degeneracy of the genetic code in two manners: having more than one tRNA (with a specific anti-codon) for a particular amino acid; and 'wobble' base-pairing, i.e. permitting non-standard base-pairing at the 3rd anti-codon position.
Source: RNAcentral